GUGCUUUCAUCCUGAGCAGGACAGGAUUCUUACAGUUCGUGAAUGUGCUCGAUCUCAAGGAUUUCCCGAUAGCUACAAGUUUGCUGGUAACAUCCAACAUAAACAUCGGCAAAUUGGAAAUGCUGUUCCCCCACCAUUGGCAUAUGCAUUGGGGACUAAGCUCAAGGAGGCAAUGAACAAGAAGGCCAAAUAGUGAGAAUGGCUCCUACAAGUCGGC
This 217-nucleotide unclassified non-coding RNA is filed under the name Hevea brasiliensis (rubber tree). The record is from RNAcentral. Lineage: Eukaryota; Viridiplantae; Streptophyta; Magnoliopsida; Malpighiales; Euphorbiaceae.